RNAcentral lists this long non-coding RNA (607 nucleotides) under Equus asinus (donkey). RNAcentral describes it as "lncRNA (ENSEASG00005028972.1)". Lineage: Eukaryota; Metazoa; Chordata; Mammalia; Perissodactyla; Equidae. The record is from RNAcentral.
CUUUGGGGUGAGUCCUCCACGGGGCAGUCUUGCUGUGUGGCCAGCACUCAAGCUCACGGCUUCUGAGAGCCCCUCUGAUGGCCUUUGGAUGCCCGCUUGGUCCCCAUUGCAUGCAGUUUCAUGGAGACUUUGCCAGGUGGUGGACAUGUGACUGAGUGGGGCCCAACAGAGGCUCCUCUAGGACCCUGACCUUUGAGCGGAUGGAUGUGAGGACGGACCAGGAUCAGGGCGUGGAGGUCCAGAAGGACACGUGGGGCCUUCUAACUUGUGGACGUUCUGUUUCUUAACCUGGCUGGUGGGACUGCCUCCUCCUCUUCUAAGGUGGCUUCAUGUUUGCAUGGCACCCUGUGGCUUACAGCCCCUACCCCAUCCGUCACCCUGUUUGAUCCCCGAGGUCCCCAUGAGGCCGGCUCCAGGGAGACCAUGAUCAACCUGUCCUGCUGGGGGGCCCUGGAGGCGACAGACAGGACAGAGACCCAGGACUCCUUGGGUUGAUCACCCAUUCGUGCAUCAAAGAAUUCAGGAAUAAAGCCAUGAAUGGAUUUAGUGAGUUUCUGCCAGGUGGACCCCAGAUCAUAAAGGGCCUUGCGUACCAUGCCACAGUCGG